Molecule: ribosomal RNA, 532 nt
Filed under: uncultured archaeon
Lineage: Archaea
Description: bacterial SSU rRNA
Rfam family: Archaeal small subunit ribosomal RNA
Source: RNAcentral
GGGGCGCAGCAGGCGCGAAACCUCCGCAAUGUGAGAAAUCGCGACGGGGGGAUCCCAAGUGCCAUUCUUAACGGGAUGGCUUUUCAUUAGUGUAAAGAGCUUUUGGAAUAAGAGCUGGGCAAGACCGGUGCCAGCCGCCGCGGUAACACCGGCAGCUCUAGUGGUAACAAUUUUUAUUGGGCCUAAAGCGUCCGUAGCCGGUUUAAUAAGUCUCUGGUGAAAUCCUGUAGCUUAACUGUGGGAAUUGCUGGAGAUACUAUUAGACUUGAGACCGGGAGAGGUUAGAGGUACUCCCAGGGUAGAGGUGAAAUUCUGUAAUCCUGGGAGGACCGCCUGUUGCGAAGGCGUCUAACUGGAACGGUUCUGACGGUGAGGGACGAAAGUUAGGGGCGCGAACCGGAUUAGAUACCCGGGUAGUCCUAACUGUAAACGAUGCGGACUUGGUGUUGGGGUGGCUUUGAGCUGUCUCAGUGCCGAAGGGAAGCUGUUAAGUCCGCCGCCUGGGAAGUACGGUCGCAAGACUGAAACUUAA